UACAGAGGGGGCAAGCGUUGCUCGGAAUUACUGGGCGUAAAGGGCGCGUAGGCGGGAUGGCAAGUCGGUCGUGAAAUCCUUCGGCUCAACCGGGGAACGGGCGCCGAUACGACCGCCCUGGAGGGACGUAGGGGGACCUGGAACUUCCGGUGGAGCGGUGAAAUGCGUUGAGAUCGGAAGGAACGCCCGUGGCGAAAGCGAGGUCCUGGACGUUUUCUGACGCUGAGACGCGAAAGCCAGGGGAGCGAACGGG
RNAcentral lists this ribosomal RNA (253 nucleotides) under uncultured bacterium. RNAcentral describes it as "partial 16S ribosomal RNA". It matches the Rfam family "Bacterial small subunit ribosomal RNA", at positions 524 to 776 of the family's 1533-position model. The record is from RNAcentral.